This 1567-nucleotide long non-coding RNA is filed under the name Homo sapiens (human). Its description in RNAcentral is "HSALNT0095785". Lineage: Eukaryota; Metazoa; Chordata; Mammalia; Primates; Hominidae. The record is from RNAcentral.
ACUGCUGUUUUUAAGGCCAGCCUAAUGAGCCUCUUGUGACCACAGGAGGAACAUGGUUCAGAGAGGGUCUUAUUUAAACGGUUCAUCCAUGCAGGAGGGGCAAUGCAUUUUCCCAAGUCUCAUGGAAGGGUUUCACAGCUUAGAGCUCAGCCUCAGAGUGGACUAGCACACAGCUGUUUCGGAGACUGGAGGAUAGCCUGCUGGGAUAGAGGUUUCCCUGGAAGAUACAGAGCUGGUAAGGCUAUCAAGGUAAAUUGGGCACAAAUGGUGGAGUCCAUGGAGUUCAGAAAGGUUUUCAGGCAACAGGGAGAUUUUGGAGUUUUUUGUUGUGUUUGUUUUGUUUUGGAACAGAGAAGUAACAGAAUCAGAUCUGUGCUCCUUGAUAAAAUGUAAAGAAUGAAUUUGAAGACCAGAGAUUGAAGGAUAGAAGGCAAGUUAGGAGAUCCAGGUAAGGAGUACAGAAGGCCAGAAAGCAGGGCAGUAGAAAUGGAAAGGAGGAGACAGAGUUUGAAAAUGUGUUGGAGUGGAAUAUGUAGGAUUUAGUGAGGGAUAGGAUGGAGAUAGAGAAACCCAGAGGCUUUAGGUCUGGGUAACUAGAACAGUGAGGCCAGCAGUCAAGAUAGGGAGGCAUCAAAAACACAGAACAUUCCCAGAGUCUGAGACAAUGGAUUUGGUUUUAGAUAAAAUAGGUAGUGCUGAUUUUAAAGAUGAUAGGCUUUGGGGGAGAAUAAUCUGAAUCUCCUGUAAAGCAGACACUGACUGGUCAGACUUAUAAACUUUUGACCCAGGCAGAGGUAUAUGAAAUUUAUAAUAAAUAAAUGAAGCUGACUGGAAUUGAGGGCCACUAGAUUUAGAGAACAUGACCCAUGUGAAGGCCACUUAGCUCCUCUGAGUUGCUGAUGCGCCAGAAUGGGGGCCAGUAUUGCCAAAUCAUCCGAUUCCUAAAGACAGGCCAGAAAUCAGAAUGUUACCUGAAGUCUCCUGAUUCUUAAAUGUUGGCAACCAAUUCUUUCUUUGCUGAAACUUGAAGUGAGCCAAUCCCAGGCAAUUCUGCAGAGCAUCCCAUCUGAUCCCACACAUUUGAGAAUGGAUGGACUAACCUGAAGUAUUACAGAGCAGCAGUGCAGAAGUGGGGACACAAGUAAAGGAGGAUCACCAAGGAAGUGUUUUUGAGCAACUGCAACAUUGCUGGCCCAUGCUAGAUGCUGUGGGAGAUAUAAGCUAUGGCUGCUGCUCUCAAGAAGCUGACAGCAUCGCUGCAUCAGAGAAAAAGGCAGCACACUGUGUGAUUAUGGGUGGUAAGUCUCAAGAAAGGGAGAAAUCAGCAUGCAACAGACAAGUGAAGAGAGGCAAUAUAAAAGCUCUGGGUCUUAAAUAGCUUUAAAGAGGAGGCAGAAGGUGCACAAAGAACUAGAGAUUUUCCUCCAAAUUCAAUUUCCAAGUCAAUAGCUGCAGUUCAACAGGUUUUGUGAUUUCUGCAGGAAGAUAGGCAUGAGGUUUCCGAGAGCAGGUGGAAAUGAGUAAAUUAUAGGUAGAACCUGCUUUCACACUAAUGAUCACUAACAGA